This 253-nucleotide ribosomal RNA is filed under the name uncultured bacterium. RNAcentral's name for it is "partial 16S ribosomal RNA". It matches the Rfam family "Bacterial small subunit ribosomal RNA", at positions 524 to 776 of the family's 1533-position model. The record is from RNAcentral.
UACGUAGGUGGCGAGCGUUGUCCGGAUUUACUGGGCGUAAAGGGAGCGUAGGCGGACUUUUAAGUGAGAUGUGAAAUACUCGGGCUCAACUUGAGUGCUGCAUUUCAAACUGGAAGUCUGGAGUGCAGGAGAGGAGAAUGGAAUUCCUAGUGUAGCGGUGAAAUGCGUAGAGAUUAGGAAGAACACCAGUGGCGAAGGCGAUUCUCUGGACUGCAACUGACGCUGAGGCUCGAAAGCGUGGGGAGCAAACAGG